UUGGUGAGGUAAAGGCUUACCAAGGCUUCGAUCAGUAGCUGGUCUGAGAGGACGACCAGCCACACUGGGACUGAGACACGGCCCAGACUCCUACGGGAGGCAGCAGUGGGGAAUUUUGGACAAUGGGGGAAACCCUGAUCCAGCCAUGCCGCGUGAGUGAAGAAGGCCUUCGGGUUGUAAAGCUCUUUCAGCCGGAACGAAACGGUCACGGUUAAUACCUGUGAUCACUGACGGUACCGGAAGAAGAAGCACCGGCUAACUACGUGCCAGCAGCCGCGGUAAUACGUAGGGUGCGAGCGUUAAUCGGAAUUACUGGGCGUAAAGCGUGCGCAGGCGGUUUUGUAAGUCAGAUGUGAAAUCCCCGGGCUUAACCUGGGAACUGCGUUUGAAACUACCAAGGCUA
This 403-nucleotide ribosomal RNA is filed under the name uncultured Nitrosospira sp. RNAcentral's name for it is "bacterial SSU rRNA". It matches the Rfam family "Bacterial small subunit ribosomal RNA", at positions 249 to 643 of the family's 1533-position model. Lineage: Bacteria; Pseudomonadati; Pseudomonadota; Betaproteobacteria; Nitrosomonadales; Nitrosomonadaceae. The record is from RNAcentral.